This 98-nucleotide long non-coding RNA is filed under the name Penaeus japonicus. RNAcentral's name for it is "uncharacterized LOC122244463". Lineage: Eukaryota; Metazoa; Arthropoda; Malacostraca; Decapoda; Penaeidae. The record is from RNAcentral.
CACAUCUCCGAGGAUUAGCGCACGCAAAGAGUGAACUGAGGUGUUUCUGUGCCCGCAACGUGUUUUGACCACUAUCAAUAAAACGAAGUGUGUGCAAA